UUGGAGGGCAAGUCUGGUGCCAGCAGCCGCGGUAAUUCCAGCUCCAAUAGCGUGUAUUAAAGUUGUUGCAGUUAAAAAGCUCGUAGUUGAAUUUCGAGACCGGCUUAUUGGUCGUGCUAUUGUACGUACUGGUAUAAUCGGUUUCUCCUUUCUGACGAACUAUAAUGCCAUUAAUUUGGUGUUUUAGGGAAUCAGGACUGUUACUUUGAAAAAAUUAGAGUGUUUAAAGCAGGCUCACGCUUGAAUACAUUAGCAUGGAAUAACGGAAUAGGACGUUUGAUUCUAUUUUGUUGGUUUCUAGGAUCGACGUAAUGACUAAUAGGGAUAGUUGGGGGCAUUGGUAUUCAAUUGUCAGAGGUGAAAUUCUUGGAUUUAUUGAAGACUAACUACUGCGAAAGCAUUUGCCGAGGAUGUUUUCAUUAAUCAAGAACGAAAGUUAGGGGAUCGAAGACGAUCAGAUACCGUCGUAGUCUUAACCAUAAACUAUGCCGACUAGGGAUCGGAUGAUGUUAAUUCUUUAAUGACUCAUUCGGCGCCUUACGGGAAAC
RNAcentral lists this ribosomal RNA (548 nucleotides) under uncultured Glomeraceae. Its description in RNAcentral is "SSU rRNA". It matches the Rfam family "Eukaryotic small subunit ribosomal RNA", at positions 548 to 1098 of the family's 1831-position model. Lineage: Eukaryota; Fungi; Glomeromycota; Glomeromycetes; Glomerales; Glomeraceae. The record is from RNAcentral.